AUUGAACGCUGGCGGCAUGCUUUACACAUGCAAGUCGAACGGCAGCGCGGGCGUCGGCCUGGCGGCGAGUGGCGAACGGGUGAGUAAUGCAUCGGAACGUGCCCAGUAGUGGGGGAUAGCCCGGCGAAAGCCGGAUUAAUACCGCAUACGACCUGAGGGUGAAAGCGGGGGACCGAAAGGCCUCGCGCUAUUGGAGCGGCCGAUGUCGGAUUAGCUAGUUGGUGGGGUAAAGGCUUACCAAGGCGACGAUCCGUAGCUGGUCUGAGAGGACGACCAGCCACACUGGGACUGAGACACGGCCCAGACUCCUACGGGAGGCAGCAGUGGGGAAUUUUGGACAAUGGGGGCAACCCUGAUCCAGCCAUGCCGCGUGCGGGAAGAAGGCCUUCGGGUUGUAAACCGCUUUUGUUCGGGAAGAAAUCCUCUGGGCUAAUACCCCGGGGGAUGACGGUACCGGAAGAAUAAGCACCGGCUAACUACGUG
Molecule: ribosomal RNA, 483 nt
Filed under: uncultured bacterium
Lineage: Bacteria
Description: partial 16S ribosomal RNA
Rfam family: Bacterial small subunit ribosomal RNA
Source: RNAcentral